UGGGGAAUUUUGGACAAUGGGCGAAAGCCUGAUCCAGCGAUGCCGCGUGUGUGAAGAAGGCCUUCGGGUUGUAAAGCACUUUUGUCCGGAAAGAAAUCCUUGGCUCUAAUACAGUCGGGGGAUGACGGUACCGGAAGAAUAAGCACCGGCUAACUACGUGCCAGCAGCCGCGGUAAUACGUAGGGUGCAAGCGUUAAUCGGAAUUACUGGGCGUAAAGCGUGCGCAGGCGGUUUGCUAAGACCGAUGUGAAAUCCCCGGGCUCAACCUGGGAACUGCAUUGGUGACUGGCAGGCUAGAGUAUGGCAGAGGGGGGUAGAAUUCCACGUGUAGCAGUGAAAUGCGUAGAGAUGUGGAGGAAUACCGAUGGCGAAGGCAGCCCCCUGGGCCAAUACUGACGCUCAUGCACGAAAGCGUGGGGAGCAAACAAGAUUAGAUACCCUGGUAGUCCACGCCCUAAACGAUGUCAACUAGUUGUUGGGGAUUCAUUUCCUUAGUAACGUAGCUAACGCGUGAAGUUGACCGCCUGGGGAGUACGGUCGCAAGAUUAAAACUCAAAUGAAUUGACGGGGUCAUAGCUGUUUCCU
Molecule: ribosomal RNA, 585 nt
Filed under: uncultured bacterium
Lineage: Bacteria
Description: partial 16S ribosomal RNA
Rfam family: Bacterial small subunit ribosomal RNA
Source: RNAcentral